AUAUAUCCCAAAAUAAAGUAAACAGGAAAAUUAUAAUCAUGUAAGUGUUAGCCGGAGGUACUGGUGCUAACAAGACGAAUGUAAAUGUUGACUCGAGGUAAUAGGGCUAACAUAUUACAUAUAACCUAAUGGACAUCCGAAGAUUGUCCAAUUCUCCUCUGUAGCAGCAGCAGGUGGAAGGAAGGGUUAGUCCCUGUAAAGGUACUCCUAGUAUAAGUAAUAACCGUAGGCAUCCGUAGAUGUUCAUUACCCACUGUUGCUAACAGAUGAGUUCCGGAAUGGUUAGUCCCGUACGUAUAUCCCGAGGUACUGUGGGAUAGAGGCCCAUCUAGGUAUCCCGAGGUACUAUGGGAUAGGGUCCUGUCUUAGAUAUUCCGAGGUACUGUGGAAUAGGCAGGAAGAUUUACACAGAAGGUACUAAUAAAUCAUCCUCGCAAUUCGAGAUACAAGUAUUCAUGUUAAUGUACACAGUUAAGUGUAUCUACGUAAAGGUACUUAUGUAAUGCGUUCAUGUAAACGUGUUCAUGUAUCAUGUAAGUAUAUGUAAACAUAUUCAUGUAUCAGGUAAACAUCUGUAAGUACUCAUGUAUCAGGUAAUGUACUAGUAUAGACUCAUGAAUGAACUGACUCUUGUGUGACUCCUUGUAAUAGAAGUAAUGUUUGAUAUCUUCAAAUUAUCCCUAUGAUAAUCUACUGUAAUAUAACUAGUUGACCAUGUAAGUUUACCCACUCUUACUACUCAAGGGUAUGGGAAACUAAAGGAAAGAUGCAAACUAUAACAUCAAUACAUAUAUAAGAAUAUAAGUGUAUAUGCAUAGUUUAGUUCAAGAAUGAAAAAUGGUUUUUGUAAGACAUCUUAUGGGUUUUGAACAAUAAUUAACAAUGACUUGAUGUCAUUUUAAUAAACAUUUCAGAGGUAAAACAUUUGGUAACAAUGUGCUUUUAAGAUGUAAAACCAUUUCAUGCAUCACAUUUUGUAGCAUGUGAAAUCUGUUAAAUGACAAACACAGUUAUAAAAUACAUAUCAAUGAUUUAAUAAC
Molecule: long non-coding RNA, 1040 nt
Filed under: Lactuca sativa (garden lettuce)
Lineage: Eukaryota; Viridiplantae; Streptophyta; Magnoliopsida; Asterales; Asteraceae
Description: long non-coding RNA (LSAT_LNC002069)
Source: RNAcentral